RNAcentral lists this ribosomal RNA (319 nucleotides) under uncultured eukaryote. RNAcentral describes it as "partial 18S ribosomal RNA". It matches the Rfam family "Eukaryotic small subunit ribosomal RNA", at positions 1470 to 1796 of the family's 1831-position model. The record is from RNAcentral.
CCCUUAGAUGAUUUGGGCUGCACGCGCGCUACACUGACCCUAACAAUGAGCAACUGUCUGGCCUGAGAUGGCUGGGUAGCCUUUUCAACCCAUGUCAUGAUUGGGCUAGAUUUUUGUAAGUCUUGAUCUCUAACGAGGAAUCCCUAGUAUGCGUGAAUCAUCAAUCCAUGCAGAUUAUGUCCCUGCCCUUUGUACACACCGCCCGUCGCUCCUACUGAUUGGGUGAUCCGGUGGGCUGUUCGGCCAUAGCAAUGUUUCUUGAGCAGGGCAAUGAAGGUUUCGCAAACCUUGCCACUUAGAGGAAGGAGAAGUCGUAACA